Mustela lutreola (European mink) is the source of this 344-nucleotide long non-coding RNA. RefSeq lists it as uncharacterized. The transcript has 2 exons. The record is from RefSeq and is a predicted model, not a curated record. NCBI's taxonomy places the organism in Eukaryota, Metazoa, Chordata, Mammalia, Carnivora, Mustelidae.
GGGCCAGGCACUGUCUCGGCACACCUGUGCAACUGCUUGGAUACGACAGAGGCUGCUCCAAGGGACACUGUGACGCCGUGAUGACCCUGAGGGGCCUCUUUGCUCUCCCCCCACAACUGCUUCAGAAACUGUGUAGCAAGAUUCUACAAUGGCUUUGUGGCAGUGUCUUUUGAAACUAGGGCUCCUGAGGACACACCUCCCUGGAUUUGAAUCGGGAGACUGCACUGUGUACCCAGCAACCACUCAAUAGCCCUAGCCUCAGUUUCUUUGACAUUUUCCGUGAAGCUGAAGAUCUCCUCUUCCUCAAUCCCCAUUUUAUUACCCCAAAGAAAAAAUUCAGCAAG